This 505-nucleotide ribosomal RNA is filed under the name uncultured bacterium. RNAcentral's name for it is "partial 16S ribosomal RNA". It matches the Rfam family "Bacterial small subunit ribosomal RNA", at positions 28 to 507 of the family's 1533-position model. The record is from RNAcentral.
GACGAACGCUGGCGGCGUGCCUAAUACAUGCAAGUAGAACGCACAGUUUAUACCGUAGCUUGCUACACCAUAGACUGUGAGUUGCGAACGGGUGAGUAACGCGUAGGUAACCUGCCUGGUAGCGGGGGAUAACUAUUGGAAACGAUAGCUAAUACCGCAUAAUAUUGAUUAUUGCAUGAUAAUUAAUUGAAAGGUGCAAUUGCACCACUACCAGAUGGACCUGCGUUGUAUUAGCUAGUAGGUGAGGUAACGGCUCACCUAGGCGACGAUACAUAGCCGACCUGAGAGGGUGAUCGGCCACACUGGGAAUGGGACACGGCCCAGACUCCUACGGGAGGCAGCAGUAGGGAAUCUUCGGCAAUGGACGAAAGUCUGACCGAGCAACGCCGCGUGAGUGAAGAAGGUUUUCGGAUCGUAAAGCUCUGUUGUAAGAGAAGAACGGGUGUGAGAGUGGAAAGUUCACACUGUGACGGUAUCUUACCAGAAAGGGACGGCUAACUACGUG